This 787-nucleotide ribosomal RNA is filed under the name uncultured Acaulospora. RNAcentral's name for it is "SSU rRNA". It matches the Rfam family "Eukaryotic small subunit ribosomal RNA", at positions 325 to 1111 of the family's 1831-position model. Lineage: Eukaryota; Fungi; Glomeromycota; Glomeromycetes; Diversisporales; Acaulosporaceae. The record is from RNAcentral.
AUGGUAGGAUAGAGGCUUACCAUGGUUUUAACGGGUAACGGGGAAUUAGGGUUCGAUUCCGGAGAGGGAGCCUGAGAAACGGCUACCACAUCCAAGGAAGGCAGCAGGCGCGCAAAUUACCCAAUCCCGACACGGGGAGGUAGUGACAAUAAAUAACAAUAUGGGGCUCUUACGAGUCUUGUAAUUGGAAUGAGUACAAUUUAAAUCUCUUAACGAGGAACAAUUGGAGGGCAAGUCUGGUGCCAGCAGCCGCGGUAAUUCCAGCUCCAAUAGCGUAUAUUAAAGUUGUUGCAGUUAAAAAGCUCGUAGUUGAAUUUCGGGAUUUAUCCGUCGGUCGGGCUUUUGGGUCUGUACUGGCGUGAUGGAUUCCUACCUUCUGAAUAACUGGCAUGUCAUUAAUUUGGUGCGCCGGGGAAGCAGGACUGUUACCUUGAAAAAAUUAGAGUGCUUAGAGCAGGCUUAUGCCUGAAUACAUUAGCAUGGAAUAAUGAAAUAGGACGGCAUGGUUCUAUUUUGUUGGUUUCUAGGAUCACCGUAAUGAUUAAUAGGGAUAGUUGGGGGCAUUAGUAUUCAAUUGUCAGAGGUGAAAUUCUUGGAUUUAUUGAAGACUAACUUCUGCGAAAGCAUUUGCCAAGGAUGUUUUCAUUAAUCAAGAACGAAAGUUAGGGGAUCGAAGACGAUCAGAUACCGUCGUAGUCUUAACCAUAAACUAUGCCGACUAGGGAUCGGACGAUGUUAAUUUUUUAAUGACUCGUUCGGCGCCUUACGGGAAACCAAAGUGUUUGGG